UGGGGGAUAUUGCACAAUGGGCGAAAGCCUGAUGCAGCGACGCCGCGUGGGGGAUGAAGGCCUUCGGGUUGUAAACUUCUUUUGCUCUGAACAAGGCAUGCUAAUGGGUGUGUUGUGUGUAGGGGUUGAUUAGCGCCGGCUAACUACGUGCCAGCAGCCGCGGUAAUACGUAGGGCGCGAGCGUUGUCCGGAAUUAUUGGGCGUAAAGGGCUUGUAGGUGGCUGGUUGCGUCUGUCGUUAAAGCUCAUGGCUUAACGGUGGGUUUGCGGUGGGUACGGGCUGGCUUGAGUGCAGUAGGGGAGGGUGGAAUGACUGGUGUAGCGGUGGAAUGCGCAGAUAUCAGGAGGAAUACAGGUGGCGAAGGCGGGUCUCUGGGCUGUUACUGACACUGAGGAGCGAAAGCAUGGGGAGCGAACAGG
RNAcentral lists this ribosomal RNA (419 nucleotides) under bacterium. RNAcentral's name for it is "partial 16S ribosomal RNA". It matches the Rfam family "Bacterial small subunit ribosomal RNA", at positions 355 to 776 of the family's 1533-position model. The record is from RNAcentral.